UACGGAGGGUGCGAGCGUUAAUCGGAAUCACUGGGCGUAAAGCGCGCGUAGGCGGCUUUUCAAGUCAGGGGUGAAAUCCCACGGCCCAACCGUGGAACUGCCUUUGAAACUGUAGAGCUUGAGUGUCGGAGAGGGUGGCGGAAUUCCAGGUGUAGGAGUGAAAUCCGUAGAUAUCACGCAGAACCCCGAUUGCGAAGGCAGCAUACCGGUGCACAACUGACGCUCAGGCACGAAAGCGUGGGUAUCGAACAGG
RNAcentral lists this ribosomal RNA (253 nucleotides) under uncultured Bilophila sp. Its description in RNAcentral is "partial 16S ribosomal RNA". It matches the Rfam family "Bacterial small subunit ribosomal RNA", at positions 524 to 776 of the family's 1533-position model. The record is from RNAcentral. Lineage: Bacteria; Pseudomonadati; Thermodesulfobacteriota; Desulfovibrionia; Desulfovibrionales; Desulfovibrionaceae.